This 468-nucleotide ribosomal RNA is filed under the name uncultured bacterium. RNAcentral describes it as "partial 16S ribosomal RNA". It matches the Rfam family "Bacterial small subunit ribosomal RNA", at positions 28 to 507 of the family's 1533-position model. The record is from RNAcentral.
GACGAACGCUGGCGGCGUGCUUAACACAUGCAAGUCGAACGGAAAGGCCCUGCUUUUGUGGGGUGCUCGAGUGGCGAACGGGUGAGUAACACGUGAGUAACCUGCCCUUGACUUUGGGAUAACUUCAGGAAACUGGGGCUAAUACCGGAUAGGAGCUCCGGCUGCAGGGGGGGGGUGGGAAAGUUUCGGCGGUUGGGGAUGGACUCGCGGCUUAUCAGCUUGUUGGUGGGGUAGUGGCUUACCAAGGCUUUGACGGGUAGCCGGCCUGAGAGGGUGACCGGCCACAUUGGGACUGAGAUACGGCCCAGACUCCUACGGGAGGCAGCAGUGGGGAAUAUUGCACAAUGGGCGGAAGCCUGAUGCAGCAACGCCGCGUGCGGGAUGACGGCCUUCGGGUUGUAAACCGCUUUCGCCUGUGACGAAGCGUGAGUGACGGUAAUGGGUAAAGAAGCACCGGCUAACUACGUG